This 321-nucleotide long non-coding RNA is filed under the name Lepisosteus oculatus (spotted gar). Its description in RNAcentral is "lncRNA (ENSLOCG00000023101.1)". The record is from RNAcentral. Lineage: Eukaryota; Metazoa; Chordata; Actinopteri; Semionotiformes; Lepisosteidae.
GGCAAGCUCCUCUGACCCUUUCAUCUUCUUUCUGAGCACCCAGAGCUCCGCACCACCCUCCAGAAGUAUUUGUGCCCUUUUGGGGAAUGGGUAACUUUCCCCUCCAAUUCCACGGCAUGCCUAGAGACACUGAAAAAUUGCUUCCGUCAUUGUUUCACCAACUGCCACCAACCCCAUGUGAUCUACAAGCUAUAUGUCCUCGUGGUCAGCAGACGAUACAGCCUACAACAUCUGAGAGAAUAGCUGGAACGUUCAGAGUGAUGCUGUGUCUGUGGUGCCCAGGGUUGUUUUCAAGACUAGGAGCAACGGGGUCUUUAUUAA